Molecule: long non-coding RNA, 814 nt
Filed under: Numida meleagris (helmeted guineafowl)
Lineage: Eukaryota; Metazoa; Chordata; Aves; Galliformes; Numididae
Description: lncRNA (ENSNMEG00000007819.1)
Source: RNAcentral
CAUAAAUGAGGGAGAUGGAUGUUAUUAUUAAUGUUAUUAUUAUUAAGGUUUCUACCACUUCAGUACUCUCUUGGUUUUUUUCUGUUUUCUCCAUGGUUUUCCAGAGUUGCCAGCAGCAAUUUUGAGCAGACCAUGGCUGUAGACCUGGCAUCAGAUGAAGUGUCAUAAAGCAUUACAAAGCCAAAGAGGAGACAAGGAAUCCUUGCUUCUGAUUUUGCCUGGAAAGACUCUUGACUACUUCCAAGUGUACAUCUGAUAUCAAGCAAGCAACUAUUAAACUUUUCAAAUGCAACAAGCUUUGCUGAACCCCUCCCAUAGUCAUUGCUAUUUGCAGUGAAUUCAGCAAAGUCAAGAGGAAAGACCAUGAUUCCUGACUCAAAGAUAUUUGAAUCACCUGAAUGUCAGCAUACCCAGUGCAGUGUAAGAACAUACUGCUAUGACACCAGCACCAUAGCCAUCAGGCUCUGAGACAUCUGAUGGAGGCAUGGAGCCAUCUCAGUUUACAUCUGAUGCAUUUUUACAGCCUGUUGGGAUUUCUGGUGACUUCUCUUCCCCGUGGUGAAAACAAAAGAAUACUUCUGUGCAAGAUACUGCAAAGUAUCACCCUUCUAUCUCAUGUCAUAAUGAAAGUUCGCAGGCAAGAGGACACCAAUUAGCUGCAUCUUUUGAUGCUUCAGUUGAAAGUAUAAACAAAACCAAAUCAUCCUUCCCAUUGGAAGAAAGUAUAAACAAAUCAGAGUUUGGAAAACCAUGGUUGAAAUACAUUUUUGUAUUUUUUUUUGUUUUUGUAUUAGAAAAAUAAAAUCAUUUUCCG